RNAcentral lists this ribosomal RNA (253 nucleotides) under uncultured bacterium. RNAcentral's name for it is "partial 16S ribosomal RNA". It matches the Rfam family "Bacterial small subunit ribosomal RNA", at positions 524 to 776 of the family's 1533-position model. The record is from RNAcentral.
UACGGGGGGGGCAAGCGUUAUUCGGAAUGACUAGGCGUAAAGGGCACGUAGGCGGUGAAUCCGGUUGAAAGUGAAAGUCGCCAGCUCAACUGGCGGAAUGCUUUCAAAACCAAUUCACUUGAGUAAGAUAGAGGAUAGUGGAAUUUCGUGUGUAGAGAUAAAAUUCACAGAUAUACGAAGGAACACCAAAAGCGAAGGCAGCUUUCUGGGUCUCUACUGACGCUGAGGUGCGAAAGCAUAGGGAGCAAACAGG